RNAcentral lists this ribosomal RNA (2993 nucleotides) under Planctomycetota bacterium. RNAcentral's name for it is "23S ribosomal RNA". It matches the Rfam family "Bacterial large subunit ribosomal RNA". Lineage: Bacteria; Pseudomonadati; Planctomycetota. The record is from RNAcentral.
UGUCAAGCUACGAAGAGUGCAUGGUGGAUGUUUUGGCGUCGGCAGGCGAUGAAGGACGUGGGACGGCUGCGUUAAGCUCCGGGGAGCCGCCAACCAGGCUUUGAUCCGGAGAUGUCCGAAUGCGAAAACGUUUCGCGGUGUUGCCGCGAAGCAUUGUCCUGAACACAUAGGGACAAUGGGCCAACGCAGGGAACUGAAACAUCUCAGUACCUGCAGGAGAAGAAAGAGUCAUCGACUUCCUCAGUAGCGGCGAGCGAAGAGGAAUGAGCCUAAACCCGCUGCGUGCAAGCAUGCAGGCGUUGCGUCGCGGGUGUUGUGGGGUGCCUAAUUCCGUGCUGCGUUGCGGAAAGAGAGUUACAAAGGGUCGAACUAACUGAAGGUUCUGGAAAGUUCCGCCAUAGCGGGUGAUAGCCCCGUAGGUGAAAGUGAAACCCCUCUCUUAGGUUACCCCGAGUAGUGCCAGGCACGUGAAACCUGACACGAAUCCGGGAGGACCACCUUCCAAGGCUAAGUACUCGCCGACGACCGAUAGCGCACAAGUAGCGUGAGCGAAAAAUGAAAAGUACCCCGGCGAGGGGAGUGAAAUAGUACCUGAAACCAUGCACUUACAAGCAGUCGAAGCUCUAUGGCUCUUCGGAGUCACGAGUAACGGCGUACCUUUUGCAUAAUGGACCGGCGAGUUAUUGUACGGAGCGAGGUUAAGGGCCUUAGGUCCGAAGCCGAAGCGAAAGCGAGUGCUAACUGCGCGAUCCAGUUCCGUGCGAUAGACCCGAAGGCAAGUGAUCUAUCCUUGGCCAGGUUGAAGCGGAUGUAACAGUCCGUGGAGGACCGAACUCUUUAGCGUUGAAAAGCUAUGAGAUGAGCUGAGGAUAGGAGUAAAAGUCUAAUCAAACUUGCAGAUAGCUGGUUCUCCCCGAAACAGCUUUCGGGCUGGCCUUGUGCGACAAGAGACGGGGGUAGAGCUACUGAAUGGGUUUGGGGGCCUAACCCGCUACCCUGCCUAAUCAAACUCCGAAUACCGUCUCUAAUGCCACAGGAGUUAGUCGACCGGGGAUAAGCUUGGUCGACGAGAGGGAAACAGCCCAGAUCGCAGGCUAAGGUCCCGAAACCGUGCUAAGUGGUUAAAGGAAGUGGAAGUGCUAAGACAGCCAGGAUGUUGGCUUAGAAGCAGCCAUCAUUUAAAAAGUGCGUAAUAGCUUACUGGUCGAGCACUUCUGCGCCGAAAAUCAACGGGACUAAGCAUGGUACCGAAGCCGCGAACUGAAACGACGUGUUACGUCGUUUCAUUGGUAGGGGAGCGUUCCACACUGGGAUGAAGAGAGACCGUAAGGACUCUUGGACUGUGUGGAAGUGAUAAUGCCGGUAUGAGUAGCGAUAAAGUCAGUGGGAAUCUGACUCGCCGUAAACCUAAGGUUUCCUGGGCAAGGUAAUUCCUCCCAGGGUUAGUCGGUCCCUAAGGCGAGGCCGAAAGGCGUAGUCGAUGGACAACGGGCUAAUAUUCCCGUACCACCUGUCAGCGUUUGAGCGAUGGGGGGACGGAGUCUAGAUUGUCAGCGCACCGCUAGUCGUGUGCGUCCAAGUCUGCGGGGUGGCCGUUGGUAAAUCCGCGGCACCAACACCUCGGGGAUGAUGGCGUGCGUCCUCGUACGCGAAGUGACAUGAAGGACUUCCAAGAAAAUCCCCUAGCGAGCAUGACAGGUGACCGUACCGCAAUCCGACACUGGUAGGUGGGGUGAGUAACCCAAGGCGCUCGAGAGAACUCUCGCUAAGGAACUCGGCAAUUUAACUCCGUAACUUCGGGAUAAGGAGUGCCCUUAGGGGUGUAGUCGUACAGACGAAGCCCCAGGGGGCCGCAGUUAAAAGGCUCUGGGAACUGUUUAUCAAAAACACAGGACUGUGCUAAGGCGGAUAAGCCGACGUAUACAGUCUGACGCCUGCCCAAUGCCGGAAGGUCAAAGGGAGCGGUUAGCCGUAAGGCGAAGCUGCGAACUGAAGCCCCGGUGAAUGGCGGCCGUAACUAUGACGGUCCUAAGGUAGCGAAGUUCCUUGUCGGGUAAGUUCCGACCCGCAUGAAUGGCGUAAUCACUGGAGCACUGUCUCAGCGAGAGACUCGGCGAAAUUGCAGUCGUGGUGAAAAUACCACGUUCCCGCGCCAGGACGAAAAGACCCCGUGAACCUUUACUGUAGCCUAGUACUGGGUCUUGACUCGAUAUGUGUAGUAUAGGUGGGAGACUGUGAAGCGGAGGCGCCAGCCCCCGUGGAGUCAUCAGUGAAAUACCACCCUUAUCUUGUUAGGAUUCUAACCGAUGCCCGUGAAUCCGGGAUCGGGACAGUGCUUGGUGGGCAGUUUGGCUGGGGCGGUCUCCUCCCAAAGAGUAACGGAGGAGUCCAAAGGCACCCUCAACGCGGUUGGCAAUCGCGUGUAGAGCGCAAAGGUAUAAGGGUGCUUGACUGCGAGACCUAUAAGUCGAGCAGGUGUGAAAGCAGGGCUUAGUGAUCCGGCGGUCCAGUGUGGAAUGGCCGUCGCUCAUCAGACAAAAGGUACUCCGGGGAUAACAGGCUGAUCUCCCCCAAGAGUCCAUAUCGACGGGGAGGUUUGGCACCUCGAUGUCGGCUCAUCGCAUCCUGGGGCUGAAGAAGGUCCCAAGGGUUUGGCUGUUCGCCAAUGAAAGCGGUACGCGAGCUGGGUUCAGACCGUCGUGAGACAGGUCGGUCUCUAUCCGGCGUGGGUGCAGGAGAUUUGAGGAGUUUUGCCCUUAGUACGAGAGGAUUGGGGCGGACGAACCUCUGGUGUACCAGUUGUGCCGCUAGGUGCAGUGCUGGGUAGCUAAGUUCGGAAAGGAUAAACGCUGAAAGCAUCUAAGCGUGAAGCCCUCUCCAAAACAGGAUCUCCCUAUGAGGCUCGUGGAAGACUACCACGUUGAUAGGCCGGAGGUGUAAGUGCAGCAAUGCAUUCAGCUCACCGGUACUAAUCAGCCCAUUGGCUUGACUAC